GACGAACGCUGGCGGCGUGCUUAACACAUGCAAGUCGAACGGGCCCGCCCCUGUUUUUGGGGGUGGGUUGAGUGGCGAACGGGUGAGUAUCACGUGAGUAACCUGCCCCCUGCUCCUGGAUAACUGCUUGAAAGGGCGGCUAAUACGGGGUGUGCCGGCUGGUCCGCAUGGGCCUGGUCGGGAUAGUUUCAUCUUCGGGUGUUUCGGUGGGGGAUGGGCUCGCGGCCUAUCAGCUUGUUGGUGGGGUGAUGGCCCACCAAGGCGGUGACGGGUGGCCGGCCUGAGAGGGUGGGCGGCCACACUGGGACUGAGACACGGCCCAGACUCCUGCGGGAGGCAGCAGUGGGGGGUAUUGCACAAUGGGCGGAAGCCUGAUGCAGCGACGUCGCGUGAGGGAUGGAGGCCUUCGGGUGGUGAACCUCUUUCUCCGGUGGUGAAGGCCCUGUCCGUUGCGGCGGGGUUGACGGUAGCCGGGGAUGAAGCGCCGGCUAACUACGUG
RNAcentral lists this ribosomal RNA (499 nucleotides) under uncultured bacterium. RNAcentral describes it as "partial 16S ribosomal RNA". It matches the Rfam family "Bacterial small subunit ribosomal RNA", at positions 28 to 507 of the family's 1533-position model. The record is from RNAcentral.